Long non-coding RNA from Mustela lutreola (European mink), 1072 nucleotides. RefSeq lists it as uncharacterized. The record is from RefSeq and is a predicted model, not a curated record. NCBI's taxonomy places the organism in Eukaryota, Metazoa, Chordata, Mammalia, Carnivora, Mustelidae. The transcript has 2 exons.
CUGUUCAUUCUCUCUCUCUCUCUCUCUUUCAUAUCAAUAAAUAAAACCUUAAAAAAAAAAAAAGGCCCAGCAACCAAACAUCCAUUUUACACUUUAAAUCCUGGGCUGGGGACGCCUGGGUGGCUCAGUGGUUUGGGCUGCUGCCUUCGGCUCGGGUCAUGAUCUCAGGGUCCUGGGAUCGAGCCCCGCAUCGGGCUCUCUGCUCCGCAGGAAGCCUGCUUCCCUCUCUCUCUCUCUCUCUGCCUGCCUCUCUGCCUACUUGUGAUCUCUGUCUGUCAAAUAAAUAAAUUAAAUCUUUAAAAAAAAAUAAAUAAAAUAAAUCCUGGGCUGGUGUUGCUUUUCAGUCAUUUUUUUGGUAAAGAGGCAAUUAGCUACCCAAGUUAUUUGCUUUUUUUGUUGUUGUCCAAGGGUAAUUGAAGAUAUUACAGCAGAAAGAUUCAAAUGGCUCUAUGAGGUGUUUUGAAAUUCAUCCCAACUCUAGACAGAGUGACCUGCAGACUACAGACUGCCCAAGACCAAGACCGUCAACAUUUCCUCAGUGUCAGGAUCCACUGCCAUGGUCUCCUGCCCCAGCACUGAGACCUCAGGAAUAGCUUCUUGACGGGAAUAAUGGCAUCUCCUCACACACGGGUUUGUUGGUAUGGAAGAGGUUGCCCAGGCACGUGUAGUACUUCUUGAUGACCACGCGGCCCAUUCUUCAUGGCUUUGGUGCCAAUGCAGCACAGGUUGGUGGGUCUCGUAAAGGAGGAAACAGUACUAUGCAAGUUAUUAAGGACAAGUGGCAAGUCUGCCAGAACUUUCUGUUAUUUCCAAUUCCUAAAAAUACCUUUUAUGGAAACAAUAAUGUGGUCAUGUAAAAAUCAUCCAAAGUUAUUUGAAGAGGCAAAUACAGACUGUACAAACCAUAGCAAAGGAACAUCCAAAUCACAGACCCAAUUCUCUUGACCAUUUGGUGUGGGGGGGUCUUUCUAUUUAUAAACUGCUAACAAUUCCCCUAUAAACUUAUUAUUCUGAAAAUGGUAUUUAACUUCUUCCAAGUAAUAAAAUUGUUUGAGAGUAUUAGUAAUUUGAA